GGAGGCAGCAGUGGGGAAUAUUGCACAAUGGGCGAAAGCCUGAUGCAGCAACGCCGCGUGAGGGACGACGGCCUUCGGGUUGUAAACCUCUUUUAGCAGGGAAGAAGCGAAAGUGACGGUACCUGCAGAAAAAGCGCCGGCUAACUACGUGCCAGCAGCCGCGGUAAUACGUAGGGCGCAAGCGUUAUCCGGAAUUAUUGGGCGUAAAGAGCUCGUAGGCGGUUUGUCGCGUCUGCUGUGAAACCCCGAGGCUCAACCUCGGGCCUGCAGUGGGUACGGGCAGACUAGAGUGCGGUAGAGGAGAUUGGAAUUCCUGGUGUAGCGGUGGAAUGCGCAGAUAUCAGGAGGAACACCGAUGGCGAAGGCAGAUCUCUGGGCCGUAACUGACGCUGAGGAGCGAAAGGGUGGGGAGCAAACAGGCUUAGAUACCCUGGUAGUCCACCCCGUAAACGUUGGGAACUAGUUGUGGGGUCCAUUCCACGGAUUCCGUGACGCAGCUAACGCAUUAAGUUCCCCGCCUGGGGAGUACGGCCGCAAGGCUAAAACUCAAAGGAAUUGACGGGGACCCGCACAAGCGGCGGAGCAUGCGGAUUAAUUCGAUGCAACGCGAAGAACCUUACCAAGGCUUGACAUAUACGAGAACGGGCCAGAAAUGGUCAACUCUUUGGACACUCGUAAACAGGUGGUGCAUGGUUGUCGUCAGCUCGUGUCGUGAGAUGUUGGGUUAAGUCCCGCAACGAGCGCAACCCUCGUUCUAUGUUGCCAGCACGUAAUGGUGGGAACUCAUGGAAUACUGCCGGGGUCAACUCGGAGGAAGGUGAGGAUGACGUCAAAUCAUCAUGCCCCUUAUGUCUUGGGCUUCACGCAUGCUACAAUGGCCGGUACAAUGGGCUGCAAUACCGCAAGGUGGAGCGAAUCCCAAAAAGCCGGUCCCAGUUCGGAUUGAGGUCUGCAACUCGACCUCAUGAAGUCGGAGUCGCUAGUAAUCGCAGAUCAGCAACGCUGCGGUGAAUACGUUCCCGGGUCUUGUACACACCGCCCGUCAAGUCAUGAAAGUCGGUAACACCUGAAGCCGGUGGCCCAACCC
Molecule: ribosomal RNA, 1087 nt
Filed under: Microbacterium lacticum
Lineage: Bacteria; Bacillati; Actinomycetota; Actinomycetes; Micrococcales; Microbacteriaceae
Description: bacterial SSU rRNA
Rfam family: Bacterial small subunit ribosomal RNA
Source: RNAcentral